This 106-nucleotide transfer RNA is filed under the name Imshaugia aleurites. It matches the Rfam family "tRNA". From Rfam's summary of the family: Transfer RNA (tRNA) molecules are approximately 80 nucleotides in length. Their secondary structure includes four short double-helical elements and three loops (D, anti-codon, and T loops). Lineage: Eukaryota; Fungi; Ascomycota; Lecanoromycetes; Lecanorales; Parmeliaceae. The record is from Rfam by way of RNAcentral.
GGUCAGGUGGCCGAGUGGUUAUGGCGAUACGUUUAGGCAAUGUAGAGCUUUUCUCCUUUGAAAUCCGUAUUUCGAAAGAGCGUGGGUUCGAAUCCCACCCUGAUCA